UGUUGGUUCACUGGGACGACCGACUGCACAAAAGGAGACAUGCGAUACAGGGUGUAUGUGGCCCUAUAUAAACCAUAUGCGCAAACUGGUAGAAACCGAGACAACCAAAACAAAUAAAAAUGCAAGGUGCACUGCAUUUCAACCCAGGACGUGGUGGUUGCAAAGGAACAGCUGCGGUCCAGGUGUAGUGUAUGUGCCAAAAUUAACAAAACAGCAGGUAAAAAGGAGGUCGUUGGGACUCGAACCCACCAUCUCAUGUUAUCACCACGGUGGAGCUAAACAACCUACUAUUGCAUCUGCUCCUAACAAAAUAUGACAGCAACCCUAAAUGA
Hordeum vulgare subsp. vulgare (domesticated barley) is the source of this 332-nucleotide long non-coding RNA. RefSeq lists it as uncharacterized. The transcript has 2 exons. The record is from RefSeq and is a predicted model, not a curated record. Lineage: Eukaryota; Viridiplantae; Streptophyta; Magnoliopsida; Poales; Poaceae.